Molecule: long non-coding RNA, 8044 nt
Organism: Xiphophorus couchianus (Monterrey platyfish)
Lineage: Eukaryota; Metazoa; Chordata; Actinopteri; Cyprinodontiformes; Poeciliidae
Exons: 2
Source: RefSeq, a predicted model, not a curated record
UGUAUCUUGUGGAGCGAGAAAAAUGAACAAAGUCCAAACCUUGUUAAAGAGAAAGAACAAAACACAGCUUUAUUUCACAUCUGCACAGAUGGAGAACUCCGAAGAGAUCUAACUAGACAAAGGAAUCACCUCUCUAUAUGUACUGUAUACUGUCCUUCUCCCACAGACAGUGUCACCACCAACAUUCCCAAGGAGCUUAUCAGAUUAAUACACACACAGAGAAAAAUGCAACCUUCAGUUAAAAAUGGGUUUCAGACAGAAUAUUCUGUGUCUAAUAAUAAUCGCUCAGCCAUCGGUCUGGUGUGUCACUCCGCAAGGUAUGACAACUAUUUACUUAUCGCCUGUUGCUAAGCUUCUGACACACUGAGGCAAACUGUGAAGGCCAGAAGAGAAGCAGUGACUCUGUAAGCCUGAGUGAGACAUAAUAAACUGAUUAAUAUUAAAUAAACUUCUAAUAAAAGUAAACACACUGUGAAUAAUUAUUUUUAUUCCACAAUCCUCUUCGUUUCAAAAGUACAUUUCUCUUUUGCUUUUUGAACUCUUGACUUUUUUGUGAUGGUAUUUGUCAGUUUGUAAACUACCAGUUUGAAGCUGUGACUUCAGCAUUCAGUUCAGGGAGUUGGUGACAAUUUAAAGAGAAGAUCAUAGUAAAUCUAUAUUUAAACCUGGCAGCAAAACAUACAUUUAUGUACUAAGUGACCGACAGCGAACUAAUCAAAGGUUAAUCUGAGAGCAGAUUUUUAUGACAGACAAAAUAAAUUCCUGACUUAACUUUUCUUAUGAGAUAGUCAUGUUAUUUUGCAAUUAGUCACAUAUUUUAAGGUCAGCAGCUGAUUUCAUCACAUAUGCUCAUGUAAAAGUGGUGUGGAGUAGAUCAAUCUGCACAUGUUUUUAUGGCUGCAGUGAUUAAAAUAUCAGAUCUGAUGGCUAAUGGAUUUGACAGUACAAGCACACUGCCAGUCUAGUAUCAGUGGGAUUGGGCACCCCAUUGGGAUACAAGUGACAAUGAGAGUGCAGAAUGGAGUCAUGCAGCUAUCGUAUCCUCUACUGUAGCAAGUUGUACCCGUCCCUCAAUAUCCUUUCUAUUAUCACCCAGUCAGGGCUGAUGCUUUUGAAUGAGGGAUAGACCAGGAGAACUAGCUGGACCUUGGAUUUUGAAAGAUUACAACAUAAUGCUUGCAGUCCUUACAAACGUGGUAUUGGUGGACAUGGUUUGUUGAAGAUAUAGGCCAAGCAUUGUUGAAGGUAAAUGCAGCUCAUUGAGACACUUCCUGCUCGUCAAAUUAAACAUGCUUCCUGUUACUGUGUCUCAUUCUCUGUUAUGUCUAGCAUACGUUUCAACAUCUUUGUAGAUUCAGAACAUGUUGAUUAACUCCUCCAGCUUAGACUGAAUAGAAGAAAACCCUCCAAUAUACUACAUGGUAUUUUAUAAAAUGGUCAGCAUAAGUAUGGGAUUAAGACACGUUAACAAGAAAAUCACUUUGAUUUUUCCCAAAUUUCAACAAUGUAAAUCUUUCUCAUUUUUGCCUUUGAACAAAAGAAAUGUACAUUUAUAUUUCUAAUGGGUUAAAUAUUGUCAAGUUUCAAAAAUCUUGGUUAUCAAUUACAUUUUUACAUUUUAAAUUAGGUUUCAGGACAAACGGUACAAGGAUCAAAUUGGCAACCAACACCAAUGUAGUUUUUUUUUUUGGCAGAUUUAAUGGCAUGUGUUUGAGAAAUGAUAGAGACAUGAGACUUUACUCUGACUUGGGGUGAAGCACUGAAGUUGACUUGAACUAACCCCUCGAAGAUUUGACACUUGACUUUGAACAAAUGACUGGUGGUUCAUUGACAAAUUUUAGAUGGGACAUUUGUCCGUAAAACAGAUUUUUAAAUUAAUAGUUUAGAUAAAUUUACACAUACAAGCAUUAGAAGAGGUUAAUAACAGUUGAACACGGGAACGGAAACCCUCCAACUUUGGGGUGCCGCCUGUGACUCAGGCUGUGAGUCAGAGCUUUGGAAGAAGGGCAACAGCAUGUGCUUUUCUCAGCCUCAAAUGUCACGUGUGUGUUAACCCAGAUUUAUAGAUCAGGGUUUUUUCUUUGUUUUUGUAAACAUGGGCUUUCUAAGAGCUAGAAAUGCAAAUAGCAGGUUUCCUGCACUGAAUCUGUCAUGUGUGGGACUAAUGCUGCCACACAUGGAGACAGUGUCGUCCACCCUAACUAUGGCCUCUUGCCUCCUCUCUGUGGCAUCACCCGGCGAACAGUUGUCAUCCCUGACAGGGGUCCCCCCUGACAGAGGGGUCCUCUGUCACUGCCUCACAGAGGAAAAGGGAGUCCGAGUGUGUGCGAGAGACGCAAAAGGAAGGCAGGGUGUGAGGCAGAGAGGGAGGAAAGCUUUUUGAGGUGCUGGAGGAGGGAAUGAGCUUUGCCAUAGAGCUGUGUUUGAGCGCGCGCACUUGUACGUAUCGCACGUCCAUGUGUGAGCGUACAGUAGCUGUGAGUCACGCAGUGUGUGGGGGCUAUGAUGCAUCUGCGACCAGCACGACAAAAUGUGUUUCGCUUGACUUUAUUUCAAGUCUACAACCACAUUCCAUAUGGUGUCGGCUUCGCACAGCAGGAUAUAGGGCUUCGUUCUGUUGUGCUGCAAGAUGAAUGAGAUGCACAGGCUGUACGCUGAAUGAGUGUAGGCCAUCCAUCUAUUUCAGAGCAUAAAUGCAAAUGUUUUCCGAACUUGUUCAAGUCAUGUAAGGCAGGCAGAGUAAAGACAGGUUGAGGGGAAGUUGAAACUUCCAUCUAAGCCUAUUGUUAUUGAGAAUAGUGGUUGAGAAUAUGAGGUUAUUUUGUUAUAUUCCUGUGCGAUUCAGCGACAUACUUUAUAUUUUCCACCAGAAUGAGUCUCUAUGUAUCAUUAGCUAUGCUCUACAGCAAACACAGAAUUGCUUAAUGUAGUUUUGAGUGUUGCUACACCUGAUGUCUAAAUGGUAAACAACUGCCACCAGCUGGUGAGGUUUAAAAUUACACCCUUGUGCUUCAAAAGGCAAGGAUAUUUCUUUCAUGUUUAUAGCAAAAGAAAACCAGAAUUUAAUGAUCCUGGACACACUGAGCUUAAGCACGUUUUAUUCAAUCUUUCAAAAAAAAUAGAGUGUUUUAUUUUGAUUUUAUGAAAGACAGAAAGAAAGGAGCACAUAAUAUCUAAGAGGUAGCCACAAUGGCACGGUUUUCCCACAAAUAAAAAAUCUGAAAUGAGUUUAUUUGGUCAAAUGGGACCAAAAUUGAAGUUGCCAAGAGGAAAAGGUGAAACUAAUGCAAGUUACCAUGGAAACAUUAUUCCCAUUAAGAAUCAUGGAGUCAGCAGCAUCGUGCUGUGGAAAUAUUUUUCCAUCAGUAUUGACUUUUAGUCAAAAAUUUUAAAUGUAUUUUUGUUCUUCCAUUUCCCAAUCAUGUACUACUUUCCUGUUGGUCUAUCAGAAUAAAUUCCAAUAAAAUGCACUGAAAUUAGCUUGAAAACGUUCACAGGAUGACAUGUCUCCACCAUAUCAAGUUCUUGCAGGUACAGCUGUGCAUAAAAGGAACACAUCAGGAUUUAAACAAAGUUUUUUUUUUUUUCUGAACAGUUUUAGCUCUAUAGCCAUUUUUUAUGCAUAUUCUGAAACUUAAUCUCAAACACCCAUCUAGAAUUAUCAUCAUAAUCAUCCAAUAUUUAAAACAAAACUUGCCUCUGAAUUCUUUUCCAUUUUAUUGCCAUAGAAAACUAUUGUGCUGCUAUGUUCCCUUCUAAUUUGAAAAUGUCAUUCAUUAGAAUGACAUAAACAUUUAAAGGGCCAUUCAGGUCGCAAUGAUGAUUUUAUAGAGUCGUUAUUCAGUAAUAUACCGCUACACUUUAAGCAUCUACAGUCAGAGAAUCAGACGUCGGCUUGUCUCGUUACAAACUUGUGUGCAGAUUUAAACCCGUAAAAACAUUUGUCAUUGAGAAGGCAGUUAUUUUGAGUAAAGCAAAAGCUGUCGGCAUGGUAAAGACAUCUAGACAGCCAACAGAAACCCCUACACCACUUGUCUCUGGGGUUAUCGUGUUCCUGCUCCUGCACUGAUUCUCAUCAAAGUAUCUCCGCUGCCUCUGCAGCCAUCUAAUUAUGCCACAGCUGAUCUGAUAUAUAGGACUCCCCCUCUUCCUCUAGAGACCAAACAGAGAAGAACAAAGCUCCCCAUUUUGGGGGGGUGUUUUUCCUCCCUUCAACACUUAAGUCAUCUCCUUGGCUUCCGCUAUCUAAAGCCAGUGCACAGAACAUGUUAAGGAAUCUCAAGCAUGGCUGCUGCAGUCACUGUGUGGCUCUAACGGAAAGUGACAGAGAGCGGGACGGAUAAUCUUCUUGAUGUGCUGCAUUUUUAUGCAGCCUCUGGAGGCAGCAGCCAUUUUUAUCAGUCACUGCAACAAGCCCUUUGGCAGCUUGGGGAUGGCGAGAACACACGGCAUCCAUUCAGUGACAAAGUACCGACUAUCUCUCAGUCCAUUUUUUACAUACAGAUAUAUUGCGAUGGCACAUCCAAGUUCAAAAUUUCUGAGGAGUGCAAGUAUAAAGAACACUGCUGUCAAUGUCAGACUUGAGCAAAGAAAGAGGGUGAGCAUGCAAGAUGACAGGAAAUGGAGAUCUUACAGAAGCGCACAAGUGGAAUAAAUGCCUUUAUUCAAAAGCGCCCAUCAGGAGUGGCUGUGCGUGCAAACGGACUCUUCUUGCUGACAGUGACUGGGAACAUCGGAUUGCCUAACUAGCCAUAGCAAAGACUGGGUCGCAGCGCUGCUGUUGAUCAGGCACGCUGCCACAUUAGAUUGCAUUUACUCAUGUGAUUAUGAUAUUAAAACAGACUUUGCAAUUAAAUCAGCUGCCUGAAAGGCCAAUUAGCUGAAACACAAUUAACAUUUCCAUAACAAUCACAUCUAAUAGUCAUCAGCAGCCAUCAGCUGGGUCAUGCAAAAGACAAUAGCAAUAACGGGUGCCUUUUUUUUUCUUCUACUGCUUCCACAAAUUAAUGUUCUUGUUGCAUUUUGGGGCUGGGGACACACUGUGAUUUUUGUUGCUCUCUGUAUCAGUAAGGAAAUAUUUCAGAGAUCUGAAUGUAAUGGAGAUUUCCCACUUACAAGAUCUUGAUUGAUUUUUGUAUAAGCUAAUGCCAUGUUUUGUUGGCUAUCAGUGCUUUGUAGUAGGUUCUUUUUUGGUUUUAAUUGCUUCAAUACCUUUCAGUAAAAUUUGACUAAUUCUCCACAUUUUUAACAUUUAAACAUUUGCAAAAAUGUUUUGCGCAUGGCUGUCUUAAGAGUUUAAAAAAUAACAUCAGGUCAGCCACUAGACAGUUGAGCUCUGGAGCUGUAAUGUUUUCCACUGGAAGGAGCCAUUUUAGAUUUUGGGUCAGCUUUUCAAUAACCAGUAUGACUCACAGUAGCAUAAACGAUAGCUUUUACUGUUACACCUCCAAUGUCUCGAUAAAUCAGUUGUGCACGCUCUACAACCAACAUUAGUAAAAGUGUAGCUAACACUAGUUAGCCUGCUUACUUAGAUUGUACAAUCUUUGUUAGUCACUGUGAGGCUAUGUUGCGUGUCCUCGUUUUGAUGAUCUGUUGUCAGAAAAAUCUAUAAAUUGUUUAGACAGUUCUAUUUGUUUUAAGCUCGAUACGGCCAUAUUGGUUUUGAAGUUAGACAUCUUAACUAUGACUCUAUGGGCUGUUUACAAUGAUUUUUCUCACUUAAAAUAGUAAAAAGGGACAUUUUUCUUUUUGCAAUACGUGCCACUAUCACUUUCAUGGUUUUUCUUUGUGUGCUAACAGCAACACAUCUCAGACAAAGUUCUUCCAAAUUCAGGUGAGUAAAUAAUGGAAAUGAGGCUAAUCAUCAAUUAACUGAAGGAAUCUUAUCAGCUCUCUUCUCAUUUGAUCCUCAUUUAUCACUCGUGAUUGAACAUUAUUUUCCACCUAUUCACAAUGGGACUCUGACGAACUCGGAAUAACAACAAUGGUCUAUUGAGAUUUAUCACGUCUUCUCUAUCUGCCUGGAUGUUGGAGAGGGACGAUCUAAUCAAAUGAUAAUGUUUAUCUACUGAGGCUGUACAGAUUAGGGAGGAUUUGUAUUAAAUCAAGGUUCUAACUGAUAUAGUCCUGUCAGUAAGUGGUAAACGUAUAUUAAUCAAAUUUAAUAAGGUAAACCUUUAUAAUGUCCAGACAAUGAUACCAUAUUUAGGAGCUGUACACAUUAGUUUGAACAGUAUAAAGAAAAGAACAGACACGUUUGCUAACUAACAAACUUUAAGAGGUUAUGUUUCAUCCUUGUUGGUCAAAGGGUUUCUGUUAUGCCUUAGUGAUAAGAAUGGCUUCAUUAAAUUGGAUUUUACUUAUGAAAGUGAGUUUUUUGUGCCUUUGCCUAAGUGGAAAAAAAUUAUACAAAUCACUUUUUGGACCAAAAGGAGUCGUUUAAAAGAAACGUUAAGAAAUAUGGGUGUGAAGAGAGACGGGGAAAAAAAUGAGCGGAUGGGACAAUCACAACUUCAGAGCCUUUUUGGAAUAAAAACGGUCCGACAACAUCAAAAAUCCUCGACCAUACUUAACUGAGAUGAUGUGCUUUUCCAGGCAAUUUUGCUUGUUUCAUUCAACAUCCAUUUGGAGUUAUUGUCAAAAAACUCUUUCUCAAAGCACAGUUUCAAUUUCAAUCACAGUAAAAUUUUGCAAGUUAAUAUUUGUUUAUGAAUCCAGGACAUAAAAUUACUGGUUUAUUUCAAAAGCAACUAAUUGAUAGUGAAUUUACGCAAUUUACAUACAGUUUCAUUUGUUUUUAACUCCUGAUGAGACAUGAAGAUUUAAGUAACUGGUUCUUGUCUUGUCACCAUUCCUUAACAUGUCUACCUUUAUUGUAUUACAUAUCAUCUUGUGUUUCUUUAUUUCCAUUUGUAUGACUUUCUGAUCAGAAAAUCAUACUAACAAACUAAAGAGGUUUCUGGUCAGAAAGUCAUACAAAUGUUUGGUUUUUUUCCAGUGUCGAUCCACCUUUUAAUGUUUUCUCAUAUUAUUGAAAUGAAAAAAUAAGAUUUCCACACCACGUCUUUAAAGAUUUAGCAAUUACCCCCUUUUUAAACGAAGCCUUUUAUCUUUGUAUUAUGAACCAUUUUUAAAAUCCAAUGUAAAAAAUCAAGUGUUUUGCCUUUAAAGUUUAAAUAUGAGUGAAUUAAUGUACAAAAUCCCAACACCUAUAGUCAUUUCUUGAUGCUCAGGAUUUGACACAAAUUCUCUAAACCUUUGCAGGAAAGCAACAACAAAACAAUUUAAGUGUUCCCAUUUUCCUCUUAUGAUUUAAAGCAGUUUAAAUCAUCCUAUUAGCCCACAUAGUCUAUUGAAAGCUGUGAUAUUUACCUUCAUGUGACAAAAGCUGCAGUUUCACAUAUUUUCUUUCCUGCUUUUUCUAUAAAAUCUGCUCUGUCAAAGGUCUAGCUCAAGCUAACUGAAAUGUGUGUACACAGUGGUCAUACCCAACAUGUCCAAGAGGAUUAGGUUAGCAUUUUUUUUUCACAACAAAACACCAGGAAUAACAAAAGCACUUUUUCUUUUUUUGUUUAAUUUGUCCCCCUAAUAUAUAUUACCACUACCGAAGACACCAUUCACUUAACAUAAAUAAUGACAACUUAUUUAGGAGAGUAACAUAAAUUCAGAGGGUAGGUCUGUAUUUUAAUGUAGAUACCAAUUUUACAGUACAAGACUAAAGUCAAAUUUUCCUUAAGUUACCAAAAAUAUUCUGGAAAAGAAGAAAUGAAUACACAGCAAUAAGACAAAAACACUCAACUGUACACCACCAGCCUGUCCAAAAUCCAUUUUUAAAUAUUAAAUAUCCUCGACCGCUUAGUUAAUGAUGAACAAGAUGUUUUACUGAUAAAUUAAAGAACGUCAGCUAGCAGAAAACACUCUAAAUGUGUAGGAGGGAAUUUGAUGCAAAUUUCAGAGCAGACGGUCAAUAAAGAACACAAUAUUUGUUAGAAUUUCUUCUAAAAGUGGCCUAAUAGAGUAAACAAAUUCAACAAAUGGUGAAAAC